This 281-nucleotide long non-coding RNA is filed under the name Nicotiana benthamiana. RNAcentral describes it as "long non-coding RNA (NBEN_LNC002490)". Lineage: Eukaryota; Viridiplantae; Streptophyta; Magnoliopsida; Solanales; Solanaceae. The record is from RNAcentral.
CAAACAAGAAAUUCUUUAGUAAGGAAUUCUGUUGAUCCCAGAGAAGGUGUUAGGCACCCUCGGAUCCCGUGGUUCUAGCACAGUCGCUUAAACUAUUAUAAGUGAAUAAUUUUCUGAUUUUUAUACAUGUUCAUCCUACAAUGCAAUUUUAAAAUUAUUGACCGCUUUAUAUCACUUUUUAGGAAUAUUUGUAACGUUAUUAAAAUAUGUCUUGAACAGCGUCACACAAAUGCACCCGCGGUCUUUGAAAUAUUUUAACAUUGUUGAGAUUUGGAUUUGGG